UGAGGAGAGCACUCAAGGGUUUGCGUGCUUGGAUUACCGGUCAAAGGAAAGAUCAGUCUCCGGGAACUAGGUCGGAGGUUCCUGUUGUUCAAGUGGACCCUGUUUUUGAAGGAAUGGAUGGUGGGAUUGGUAGCUUGGUGAAGUGGAACCCAGUCUCCAAUGUUGAUGGUAAAGACAUUUGGAAUUUCCUCCGGGCGAUGAAUGUGCCUGUCAAUUCUUUGCAUACCCAAGGAUAUGUGUCUAUCGGUU
This 249-nucleotide long non-coding RNA is filed under the name Durio zibethinus. RNAcentral describes it as "long non-coding RNA (DZIB_LNC001522)". Lineage: Eukaryota; Viridiplantae; Streptophyta; Magnoliopsida; Malvales; Malvaceae. The record is from RNAcentral.